GCUAACUCAGCUAUGGCAAUAACCAAGUGGCAGCACAAUGACGCAGCCGCAUCCGGGUUCAAGUCCCGGCGCCUCCACCA
This 80-nucleotide non-coding RNA is filed under the name Candidatus Hodgkinia cicadicola Dsem. Lineage: Bacteria; Pseudomonadati; Pseudomonadota; Alphaproteobacteria; Hyphomicrobiales. The record is from RNAcentral.